This 463-nucleotide ribosomal RNA is filed under the name Vreelandella stevensii. Its description in RNAcentral is "partial 16S ribosomal RNA". It matches the Rfam family "Bacterial small subunit ribosomal RNA", at positions 338 to 794 of the family's 1533-position model. The record is from RNAcentral. Lineage: Bacteria; Pseudomonadati; Pseudomonadota; Gammaproteobacteria; Oceanospirillales; Halomonadaceae.
CCUACGGGUGGCAGCAGUGGGGAAUAUUGGACAAUGGGCGAAAGCCUGAUCCAGCCAUGCCGCGUGUGUGAAGAAGGCCUUCGGGUUGUAAAGCACUUUCAGUGGGGAAGAAAGCCUUGGGGCUAAUACCCUCGAGGAAGGACAUCACCCACAGAAGAAGCACCGGCUAACUCCGUGCCAGCAGCCGCGGUAAUACGGAGGGUGCGAGCGUUAAUCGGAAUUACUGGGCGUAAAGCGCGCGUAGGCGGUCUGAUAAGCCGGUUGUGAAAGCCCCGGGCUCAACCUGGGAACGGCAUCCGGAACUGUCAGGCUAGAGUGCAGGAGAGGAAGGUAGAAUUCCCGGUGUAGCGGUGAAAUGCGUAGAGAUCGGGAGGAAUACCAGUGGCGAAGGCGGCCUUCUGGACUGACACUGACGCUGAGGUGCGAAAGCGUGGGUAGCAAACAGGAUUAGAUACCCCUGAGU